Passer domesticus (house sparrow) is the source of this 314-nucleotide long non-coding RNA. RefSeq lists it as uncharacterized. The record is from RefSeq and is a predicted model, not a curated record. NCBI's taxonomy places the organism in Eukaryota, Metazoa, Chordata, Aves, Passeriformes, Passeridae. The transcript has 2 exons.
GUGCUGUAACCUGAUGAAGAGGCAAUGGCAUUUCACAAUGUGUACUCCAUUCACAGCUACCUGCUUAAAAUGUGGAAGGUGGAGGAGUAAGAAGAAAAGACUCCUUUAAAUCUGUAGAGGAACUCUGGUGCCUGUAAAUCUGGUAGAGAUGAGUUCUGAAAAGAGAUCUGAAAUAUAAGCUAGGAGCUUUUGCAAAUGAUUUUUGCAAGGCACUCCAUGAAAUGCUACACCAGUGAGAUAUCUGAGAAGAAAGCCCAGGCUGAGAAAUUGCUUCAGAGCAGCAGCUGGAGGAAAAUUGCCAUUUCUUUCGGCAU